Molecule: ribosomal RNA, 370 nt
Filed under: Pantoea sp. Morm
Lineage: Bacteria; Pseudomonadati; Pseudomonadota; Gammaproteobacteria; Enterobacterales; Erwiniaceae
Description: partial 23S ribosomal RNA
Rfam family: Bacterial large subunit ribosomal RNA
Source: RNAcentral
UCGCCGUUUAAAGUGGUACGCGAGCUGGGUUUAGAACGUCGUGAGACAGUUCGGUCCCUAUCUGCCGUGGGCGCUGGAGAAUUGAGGGGGGUUGCUCCUAGUACGAGAGGACCGGAGUGAACGCACCGCUGGUGUUCGGGUUGUCAUGCCAAUGGCACUGCCCGGUAGCUAAGUGCGGAAGAGAUAAGUGCUGAAAGCAUCUAAGCACGAAACUUGCCCCGAGAUGAGUUCUCCCUGACCCUUUAAGGGUCCUGAAGGGACGUUGAAGACGACGACGUUGAUAGGCCGGGUGUGUAAGCGCAGCGAUGCGUUGAGCUAACCGGUACUAAUGACCCGUGAGGCUUAACCUUACAACGCCAGAGGCGUUUUG